AUUAGUGUUUUUCAAGGGUAACUUUAAAUGAGUGUUGAGAUGAAGGCGAAGGUAAUCCAAAUGCAAAAACAAGGUCAUGCACAAUUAAAUAUUCAGUAUUGGAUGUUAUAUACACAAUAACAAUGAUGAAUAAAAUAAAACCUCUAGUAUUGCACACUUUUUUCCGCCAA
Molecule: long non-coding RNA, 170 nt
Organism: Sinocyclocheilus anshuiensis
Lineage: Eukaryota; Metazoa; Chordata; Actinopteri; Cypriniformes; Cyprinidae
Exons: 3
Source: RefSeq, a predicted model, not a curated record